GGAAGGCUCUUAGGGGACACUUUUGUGUCCGAGCCUCGACUUGAGAUCCUCGGGGAAACGUAAACGUACUUGCCUUUGGACCAGGAGUCCCUGAGGAUCUGUUGAUUCCAAAAUAAGCAAUCCCAAGUUUUUUGGUUUGCUUUUAGACAUGAAUAGCAGACCAGAUGGCUUUGAAAAUAGAAUUAUUUAAAAUGCCGGGGACAAGAGGAGGGG
This is a long non-coding RNA of Melospiza melodia melodia, 213 nucleotides long. RefSeq lists it as uncharacterized. Lineage: Eukaryota; Metazoa; Chordata; Aves; Passeriformes; Passerellidae. The record is from RefSeq and is a predicted model, not a curated record. The transcript has 3 exons.